RNAcentral lists this ribozyme (78 nucleotides) under Crocodylus porosus (Australian saltwater crocodile). RNAcentral describes it as "Mammalian CPEB3 ribozyme (ENSCPRG00005006992.1)". It matches the Rfam family "Mammalian CPEB3 ribozyme". Rfam says of the family: The mammalian CPEB3 ribozyme is a self cleaving RNA located in the second intron of the CPEB3 gene which belongs to a family of genes regulating messenger RNA polyadenylation. This ribozyme is highly conserved and found only in mammals. The record is from Rfam by way of RNAcentral. Lineage: Eukaryota; Metazoa; Chordata; Crocodylia; Crocodylidae.
AGGGCAUACAUUCAAGGCUACAGCAGAAGUGCUCAUGGCGCAGCCCUGUCAGAUUCCAAUAAAUCUGCAAAUUCUGCU